This is a long non-coding RNA of Dreissena polymorpha, 1377 nucleotides long. RefSeq lists it as uncharacterized. The record is from RefSeq and is a predicted model, not a curated record. Lineage: Eukaryota; Metazoa; Mollusca; Bivalvia; Myida; Dreissenidae. The transcript is spliced from 3 exons.
AAAAUCUCCGGUAUCAACCGUGAAACAUCGACUAUUUCUGGAAUCCUUCGUAAAAAGCGGUGAUAGAGUAAAAAACUUACCCGUCGACAUAAUGCCUAUCGUUUUGCUUGGAUUCCCACUAUCGAGACCUUAUUCCUGUUGUAAACGCUUUGAGUAAAAUGAUGCAACGCUUUGAGAAAAAUGAUGCCCAGGUCCGGCUGUGUCCAAUGUUGCUUGCCAAGGUUCUAAACAUGCGUUCAGGGCGAUGCUGAUCUUCUAAAAUGUUAAACCGGCUGAUCCCUGGUGUCGUUUAAGGGCCUCCAUCCAGCAAUCAUUCUAAUGGUGGAUUCAGGGCACCCGUUAUGACCAAGGACCUGGGUCUUGCUCAAAAUGCAGUGAUGGCAGUGAAGUGACCGACACCACAUGGGUCUCUUUCUCAUCAGAUUUACCGCAUCAUGACUAAUCACGGGUUUGGUGGAAAAGACUUCUCGUCUGCUUUUAAAUUAUUGCUCGAUUAGAACAAGCAAAAAAUGAUAAAUAACAUCAUUAUGUACUAUUAUUAUUUCCUAAAUGUAAAUACUAAAUAUCAUGUAAAUACACGAAUGAACGUUUAUUAGAAAACUAUUGUUAAUGAUUUAAGAAAUUUUAAAAAUGAUUUCAAAAUGAUUUUAUUAUAGAUUAUACAAGUUAUUUUACACUUGAGGUACCGGGUAACGGGUAAAACAAAAACAACCUUUUCUUUGAUAUAACUUAAAAUAUAAUUGUUGAUUUUUACCUGGUGAAAUAUAUUUUUUGGGUAUAAAAAGCUUUUGUUCAGCCAGAAAUGUCUUAGAUAAAAUAAUAUUUUUAUGUAAUUUUCACACUGUAUAAAGGGUGUUUCAGCAGAUAACCAGACAUCAAACUGCGUGUCACCGGUUGUUACAUCAGUAUGAGUUUGUGUUUAUUUUGUAUGUACCAAUAUAUUUUGAAGGAGUCGAAGAGGUACUGUAAUUUUCUAUCUUGAUGACCAAAACACGUGCAUUUUAAGAAAGAGCUUUAUGACAGUGCCACUUCAAAAGUCUACAUUUCGUUUCCAUGAUAGGUUGUGUUUUGAAAUAGCAUUUAAAAUACUUGUACCUUUUAAAAGAUGCAAAUGGGAAUGUUGUUUAUGGUAGUUGUUGAUUUGAAUAUGAAUUGCUAUGAAUAGAAUAGUGAGAACUGUAUGUGCUUCUUUAGCAUGGUAUUGUUUAUAAUAAAUACCAGUUUAAUUUAUCAUUUAGUGUGUAUGGCCUUUUAAAGUUUACAUAAAAUGCCAAUUGUUUUAUUCUUUUGGAAAGAUGAUUGCAUCUUGUUGUAAAUAAUGAAUAAAUCUUUUUUAUUUGAACAAUUAUGAGAUUUUCAAUAAAUUGCAAACCAAUA